RNAcentral lists this ribosomal RNA (468 nucleotides) under uncultured bacterium. RNAcentral's name for it is "partial 16S ribosomal RNA". It matches the Rfam family "Bacterial small subunit ribosomal RNA", at positions 28 to 507 of the family's 1533-position model. The record is from RNAcentral.
GACGAACGCUGGCGGCGUGCUUAACACAUGCAAGUCGAACGGAAAGGCCCUGCUUUUGUGGUGUGCUCGAGUGGCGAACGGGUGAGUAACACGUGAGUAACCUGCCCUUGACUUUGGGAUAACUUCAGGAAACUGGGGCUAAUACCGGAUAGGAGCUCCUGCUGCAUGGUGGGGGUUGGAAAGUUUCGGCGGUUGGGGAUGGACGCGCGGCUUAUCAGCUUGUUGGUGGGGUAGUGGCUUACCAAGGCUUUGACGGGUAGCCGGCCUGAGAGGGUGACCGGCCACAUGGGGACUGAGAUACGGCCCAGACUCCUACGGGAGGCAGCAGGGGGGAAUAUUGCACAAUGGGCGGAAGCCUGAUGCAGCAACGCCGCGUGCGGGAUGACGGCCUUCGGGUUGUAAACCGCUUUCGCCUGUGACGAAGCGUGAGUGACGGUAAUGGGUAAAGAAGCACCGGCUAACUACGUG